RNAcentral lists this transfer RNA (69 nucleotides) under Pristimantis thymelensis (Thymelen robber frog). Its description in RNAcentral is "tRNA-Glu". It matches the Rfam family "tRNA". From Rfam's summary of the family: Transfer RNA (tRNA) molecules are approximately 80 nucleotides in length. Their secondary structure includes four short double-helical elements and three loops (D, anti-codon, and T loops). The record is from RNAcentral. Lineage: Eukaryota; Metazoa; Chordata; Amphibia; Anura; Strabomantidae.
GUUUUUAUAGUUAAAUUAUAACAUUAGUUUUUCAGACUAAAAGUUUAGGUUAGAGGCCUAAUAAAAAUU